GACGAACGCUGGCGGCGUGCUUAACACAUGCAAGUCGAACGGAAAGGCCCUGCUUUUGUGGGGUGCUCGAGUGGCGAAAGGGUGAGUAACACGUGAGUAACCUGCCCUUGACUUUGGGAUAACUUCAGGAAACUGGGGCUAAUACCGGAUAGGCGCUCCUGCUGCAUGGUGGGGGUUGGAAAGUUUCGGCGGUUGGGGAUGGACUCGCGGCUUAUCAGCUUGUUGGUGGGGUAGUGGCUUACCAAGGCUUUGACGGGUAGCCGGCCUGAGAGGGUGACCGGCCACAUUGGGACUGAGAUACGGCCCAGACUCCUACGGGAGGCAGCAGUGGGGAAUAUUGCACAAUGGGCGGAAGCCUGAUGCAGCAACGCCGCGUGCGGGAUGACGGCCUUCGGGUUGUAAACCGCUUUCGCCUGUGACGAAGCGUGAGUGACGGUAAUGGGUAAAGAAGCACCGGCUAACUACGUG
RNAcentral lists this ribosomal RNA (468 nucleotides) under uncultured bacterium. RNAcentral's name for it is "partial 16S ribosomal RNA". It matches the Rfam family "Bacterial small subunit ribosomal RNA", at positions 28 to 507 of the family's 1533-position model. The record is from RNAcentral.